UGGGAGGAAAGUAGGGGAUCGCAAGACCUUGCGCUCUUGGAGCGGCCGAUGUCUGAUUAGCUAGUUGGUGAGGUAAAGGCUUACCAAGGCGACGAUCAGUAGCUGGUCUGAGAGGACGACCAGCCACACUGGGACUGAGACACGGCCCAGACUCCUACGGGAGGCAGCAGUGGGGAAUUUUGGACAAUGGGGGAAACCCUGAUCCAGCCAUGCCGCGUGAGUGAAGAAGGCCUUCGGGUUGUAAAGCUCUUUCAGCCGGAACGAAACGGUCACGGCUAAUACCUGUGACUACUGACGGUACCGGAAGAAGAAGCACCGGCUAACUACGUGCCAGCAGCCGCGGUAAUACGUAGGGUGCAAGCGUUAAUCGGAAUUACUGGGCGUAAAGCGUGCGCAGGCGGUUUUGUAAGUCAGAUGUGAAUCCCCGGCUAAGCCUGG
RNAcentral lists this ribosomal RNA (438 nucleotides) under uncultured Nitrosospira sp. RNAcentral describes it as "bacterial SSU rRNA". It matches the Rfam family "Bacterial small subunit ribosomal RNA", at positions 196 to 617 of the family's 1533-position model. The record is from RNAcentral. Lineage: Bacteria; Pseudomonadati; Pseudomonadota; Betaproteobacteria; Nitrosomonadales; Nitrosomonadaceae.